RNAcentral lists this ribosomal RNA (497 nucleotides) under uncultured bacterium. RNAcentral's name for it is "partial 16S ribosomal RNA". It matches the Rfam family "Bacterial small subunit ribosomal RNA", at positions 28 to 507 of the family's 1533-position model. The record is from RNAcentral.
GACGAACGCUGGCGGCGUGCCUAAUACAUGCAAGUUGAGCGCUGAAGGUUGGUACUUGUACCAACUGGAUGAGCAGCGAACGGGUGAGUAACGCGUGGGGAAUCUGCCUUUGAGCGGGGGACAACAUUUGGAAACGAAUGCUAAUACCGCAUAAAAACUUUAAACACAAGUUUUAAGUUUGAAAGAUGCAAUUACAUCACUCAAAGAUGAUCCCGCGUUGUAUUAGCUAGUUGGUGAGGUAAAGGCUCACCAAGGCGAUGUUACAUAGCAGAACUGAGAGGGUGAUCGGCCACAUUGGGACUGAGACACGCCCCAAACUCCUACGGGAGGCAGCAGUAGGGAAUCUUCGGCAAUGGACGAAAGUCUGACCGAGCAACGCCGCGUGAGUGAAGAAGGUUUUCGGAUCGUAAAACUCUGUUGGUAGAGAAGAACGUUGGUGAGAGUGGAAAGCUCAUCAAGUGACGGUAACUACCCAGAAAGGGACGGCUAACUACGUG